AGAAUUCAGAAUUACGAACAACCAAAAACAAAACUUGAAAAUAAACUACAUAAAAGCGUUCAAUGUUAUAUUUCAUAUUUACUCCAGGCUAAUGCUAUUUUCUCCACCAAUUUUAAAAACAUUGAGCAUGACUAACUAUCCACAGAAGCAAGUAAGAAAACGAAAUUCUAAAUUCCACAAAAGAAACCAACUACUGCAAAACUUGAGAGCAUCAGGAAUAACCAUUCUCUUGUCUUGUCAUAUGGUGCAAGAAUCCCCUCAUAAGCCUUUAAUUCACACCAAAGAAAGCUGCCACUCCAUGCUUA
This 305-nucleotide long non-coding RNA is filed under the name Gossypium barbadense (sea-island cotton). RNAcentral's name for it is "long non-coding RNA (GBAR_LNC019907)". Lineage: Eukaryota; Viridiplantae; Streptophyta; Magnoliopsida; Malvales; Malvaceae. The record is from RNAcentral.